AACACUGUUAACCUGCGGUACCUGCGGAAGGAUCAUUACCGAGUUUACAACUCCCAAACCCCUGUGAACAUACCUAUACGUUGCCUCGGCGGAUCAGCCCGCGCCCUGUAAAAAGGGACGGCCCGCCCGAGGACCCCUAAACUCUGUUUUUAGUGGAACUUCUGAGUAAAACAAACAAAUAAAUCAAAACUUUCAACAAUGGAUCU
This 206-nucleotide unclassified non-coding RNA is filed under the name soil metagenome. RNAcentral's name for it is "partial contains 5.8S ribosomal RNA, internal transcribed spacer 2, and large subunit ribosomal RNA". The record is from RNAcentral.